CCUACGGGAGGCAGCAGUGAGGAAUAUUGGUCAAUGGGCGAGAGCCUGAACCAGCCAAGUCGCGUGAGGGAGUACUGCCCUAUGGGUUGUAAACCUCUUUUGUCGGGGAGCAAAAGCCGGACGUGUCCGGCUGUGAGAGUACCCGAAGAAAAAGCAUCGGCUAACUACGUGCCAGCAGCCGCGGUAAUACGGAGGAUGCGAGCGUUAUCCGGAUUUAUUGGGUUUAAAGGGUGCGCAGGCGGAUUUUUAAGUCAGCGGUAAAAUCGUGGGGCGCAACCCCAUCCAGCCGUUGAAACUGGGGAUCUAGAGUGUGCGAGAGGUAUGCGGAAUGCGUGGUGUAGCGGUGAAAUGCAUAGAUAUCACGCAGAACCCCGAUUGCGAAGGCAGCAUACCGGUGCACAACUGACGCUCAGGCACGAAAGCGUGGGUAUCGAACAGGAUUAGAUACCCUUGUAGUC
Molecule: ribosomal RNA, 458 nt
Filed under: uncultured bacterium
Lineage: Bacteria
Description: partial 16S ribosomal RNA
Rfam family: Bacterial small subunit ribosomal RNA
Source: RNAcentral